ACACACAUACAUAUUGCCUCCAUCACCCAGGACUGAAUACAGAGCAGUCAUGUAUUUUUUUUUUUUUAAUUAUACUGAAAAUCUGCAAAUAAAUGCUUUGAAACAAAGUGGAAUCUAAAUAGGCAAAGCUGCUUUUGGUAUAACUUUUAAAUCCACCUUUACUUAAUCGAACCAGAGACUGGAUGUUGUCACAUCUCUUAUACAAAAGUAAUCAUGUAAUUGCGAGAGAAAUUAUACACCACACUCCUUGUAUUGCAACAGAUCCUUUUUUUUUAUAUAUACCCACAGAUACAUCUUUUUACCUGUGUAUAUACACUAUAACACUACUACACUUAAUAUUCACUUUAAUAGAAGCAUGCAAGCAUCGCACUUUUUCUAGCUUAGACUGAGCUAAUAAACAAAAGAUAAAGGGGUAGGGUAUACACUUGUGUUUUUUGUUUUUGUUUUUUCCUCAACAGAAUGCUAUGCACCCAUCAUAUUUUAUGACUUUAUUGAGUUUAUUUUAAUGGAUUUCCAAAUGUGCAAGAUUAGUAAGGUCAAUCACAAAUUUCUAGAUGCACACUGGAGGCUGUUAUUUCUGGAAUUAUUUUAUUUUUCUUUAGUUUUGCGAGGGAUUUUCACAGACCUGCUUCUUUGCUUCCUAAUCACUGUUCUAAAGUCUGACGUAACCUCCAACAAGCACACUUGCUGCACUAAUUCUGAACCCUCUAGGACGGUCUAUACGUUUCCUUGUUUAAUGGCCAUUGAGGAGCACAGUCAUUUUCCAGCUCAUACUGCCAUACUUUGUGUAUCUACACAUCUUACCCUAGCCUGCAGUAGUGCCUAACCUGCUUCAGAAUCAAUACAAAUAUGGGUUUCCCUCAAACUAACUUAACCUCAACUGGUGGCUUCUGGAUAUUUGGCACUGUUGUGUAUCUUGGAUGAAUUGUCCGCCUAGGUUUUAUUUUUGUUCCAUAUAUUAAUUUAUGUUUGUCUAAAAGAAUGGAUAUCAAAACCUAUAGAUAUUCAGGAUUUCCAUAUUUUGUUUGUGUGUAAACCACCACCCCUCCCACAAAUGAAAUGUCACCUUGAUCUCUAUAGAUCUAGGAAUGAGCCUCUUGUGCAUUUUCCCUUUUGGUACAUUUACAGUUACCUCAUUUUGCUAUUUAAGUUUGUGUGUGUUUUUUUUUUUUUUGUUUUUUUUUCAGAUUUGCCAAUGCAAGCUUUAUGGGUUUUGUUGGAUUUAAAUUCGUGUUUUCUUGAGAAUUGCUUUUUAAUUCUCUGGUAUCAUUUAACAUGACAUGUAGUUUAAAAUGUAUUAUAAAUAUAUGUAACCAAAUCAUCUGAAGGCUUGAUAAAUUUUUAAUGAAAUUUGUAUAUUUUUUUUUUUUUUGUUGUUGUUAGUAAUGCUUUACCAAGUAGUGCAAUGAUUUUUAUUUUUUAAUUUUAUUUUUUCCUUUUAUCCCUGUGCCCAAUUUUGGAGUUGAGAGGGUUGUUCAGUAAUAAAUGUAUGAUGUACACUUACAUGUCUGAUGGUUUUUGUAUAACAAUUUUUAUUGUGCAGGUGAAAUAUGGAUAUUUCUACAGAGAUUUUUUUUUUCAUCCGAUCACAUUUUACAUAGUUUGGUUUGUGUACAAGGUGCUGUAGAAGUGCCAAUUAUACUUCAAUUGUGACUAAGGAAGCAGAUGUUUACUUCCUUAG
Molecule: non-coding RNA, 1681 nt
Organism: Pelobates cultripes (western spadefoot toad)
Lineage: Eukaryota; Metazoa; Chordata; Amphibia; Anura; Pelobatidae
Source: the annotation of a GenBank genome assembly